Actinia tenebrosa (Australian red waratah sea anemone) is the source of this 337-nucleotide long non-coding RNA. Lineage: Eukaryota; Metazoa; Cnidaria; Anthozoa; Actiniaria; Actiniidae. The record is from RefSeq and is a predicted model, not a curated record.
CGCAACUUACAAGUGUCUGGCUUCAAGUAUCUGAAUUGGAUACAGUGACAAAAAGAGACACCCCUACCUCCUUCGCACUCUGCUUUGAUUCUUGUAAUCUCAACACCUAUCAAGUACAGAACACUUAACAUCAUUCAGAUGCCAGAAAGAUGGAGUUUGUGGAGAACGUUUGGAGACCUCGUGGAGACCGCCGCGGAGAGAAUCCUAUAAUCACUGGAGAGUGGAGGAAGAUAUCGUCGAUUUAAUCCAGAUUGGCUUAAACAAUAUCCUUGAUUUUGGAUAAUGCUUGGAUAUAUAGAAACUUCAUGGAUCCCACUUACUAGAUUUAAUAAACCAC